CGUAACAAGGUCUCCGUAGGUGAACUUGCGGANGGAUCAUUACACAAAUAUGAAGGCGGGCUGGAACCUCUCGGGGUUACAGCCUUGCUGAAUUAUUCACCCUUGUCUUUUGCGUACUUCUUGUUUCCUUGGUGGGUUCGCCCACCACUAGGACAAACAUAAACCUUUUGUAAUUGCAAUCAGCGUCAGUAACAAAUUAAUAAUUACAACUUUCAACAACGGAUCUCUUGGUUCUGGCAUCGAUGAAGAACGCAGCGAAAUGCGAUAAGUAGUGUGAAUUGCAGAAUUCAGUGAAUCAUCGAAUCUUUGAACGCACAUUGCGCCCUUUGGUAUUCCAAAGGGCAUGCCUGUUCGAGCGUCAUUUGUACCCUCAAGCUUUGCUUGGUGUUGGGCGUCUUGUCUCUAGCUUUGCUGGAGACUCGCCUUAAAGUAAUUGGCAGCCGGCCUACUGGUUUCGGAGCGCAGCACAAGUCGCACUCUCUAUCAGCAAAGGUCUAGCAUCCAUUAAGCCUUUUUUUCAACGUUUGACCUCGGAUCAGGUAGGGAUACCCGCUGAACUUAAGCAUAUCA
This 570-nucleotide ribosomal RNA is filed under the name uncultured fungus. RNAcentral's name for it is "eukaryotic LSU rRNA". The stretch from base 208 to 361 matches the Rfam family "5.8S ribosomal RNA". The record is from RNAcentral. Lineage: Eukaryota; Fungi.